GGAGAGGUGCGAGAGCGGUUGAAUCGGCACGCCUGGAGAGCGUGUGUCUACCUAAAGUGGACCGUGGGUUCGAAUCCCACCCUCUCCG
RNAcentral lists this transfer RNA (88 nucleotides) under Candidatus Zixiibacteriota bacterium. Its description in RNAcentral is "tRNA-Ser". It matches the Rfam family "tRNA". From Rfam's summary of the family: Transfer RNA (tRNA) molecules are approximately 80 nucleotides in length. Their secondary structure includes four short double-helical elements and three loops (D, anti-codon, and T loops). Lineage: Bacteria; Pseudomonadati; Candidatus Zixiibacteriota. The record is from RNAcentral.